RNAcentral lists this ribosomal RNA (117 nucleotides) under Oscillospiraceae bacterium MB24-C1. RNAcentral also lists the same sequence under 1 other name. The record is from RNAcentral. Lineage: Bacteria; Bacillati; Bacillota; Clostridia; Eubacteriales; Oscillospiraceae.
GCCGGUGCCAAUGACGAUGAGGAUCCACCCGUUCCCAUUCCGAACACGGUCGUUAAGCUCAUCAGUGCCGAAAAUACUUGGAUGGAGACGUCCUGGGAAGAUAGGUCGGUGCCGGCA